This is a long non-coding RNA of Pecten maximus, 2729 nucleotides long. RefSeq lists it as uncharacterized. The record is from RefSeq and is a predicted model, not a curated record. The transcript is spliced from 3 exons. Lineage: Eukaryota; Metazoa; Mollusca; Bivalvia; Pectinida; Pectinidae.
CAGAUCUACGCUGAACUAGCAGAAUUUUACUUGAAUACAUAACAUAGCGAAACAGACCUUGCAAUAUCAACCAAAACAAACUCAUAUUUACAAAACAGUCUACUCAUCAAAAUUAUGAAACCGUUUUGAUAUUGAAGAUUGUCCUAAACUGAGACAUGAGCAUUUAAGAAACUUAAAACAAAUUUACAGAUAAACAACCAUGCCCAUGUGACAUAUUAUUAAUGUAGUGAUUGUGUGCUUAAAUAUGGUAUUUGUACCAUAUUUAAUCACAUACUAGAAACUACCCCCACUGGCUAAAUAGCUGUGGGGAGAGCACAUUUUUUUUAUAUUGUUACAUCAAUGUAUUUUUAGUUGUGUGCUUCCUGUAUCUGAUAUUAUAUGUAAAUUAAUUGAUGUACAAAGUCUGAUGACCUUUUAAGCAUUGUAUAGAUUUACCCACUUGCUUUACUCAAACUUGACUCAUACUUUUUUUUCCAGAAAUCAUUACGUUCCAGUAUGCAAGUAAAAUGUUAGUGUUUUUGAAAUCAAUCAAAUAUUGAAUUCUAUGGAACUAGUAUGAAUUUGUGAUCAGAUACGAACAUUCAACUUACUGUUCUUUCUUUAAGUUAGUCACUUGCUUAUAUCACACCAAUGACUCUCAUGUAUUGUUAAAUAUUUGCCAGAAAAUUUGUUAACACUUGAAAACUUACUUUAAAUGAUUUUGAUGUGUAUGACCUGUCAUGCAUCGGAUACUUAAUUAGAGCGAUUGCAAAAGAUGCAUGUUUACAACUUUGAUUCAAGGACUUACCUGAAAAGUGUAUCACUGGACCUGAAAAGUGUAUCACUGGAAAUAUCAAUUAACUGACAUUUGAUACAACAAAGUGCGGAUGAAUAAUGAAACUGAUCAACAAAAAGGAACCACAACAAAGUGCUAAUGAAUAUCAAGAAAAUAAACAAAAACUUCAAAACUACACAAGACAUUUGAAAAUACUGGGGUAUUGGACAAUCGUUUCCUCCAUGUAACUACCACCAAUGAUCAGAUCCUUUGUACUGGCCACAGACCUAAAUCACUAUCAGGAAUAGAACAGACCAACCAAUAUGAAAAUAAAACACAACAGUAGUAUGUAGACAGAUUCCAGACACAGACAACAGUUUUCUAAGACGUACAUCCCUACACGCAAUCCACAUCAAAUCACUCUUGGACUUGAUCAAUUUAUCCAGUUGUGUUCUGCAAGACCAAACAACUCCUCAUGUCGGUUUCAAUUCAUCUCUAAUUGUACAAUGCAAACAUUACUAUUCUACAUGUAGAUCACAAAAUUAAGUUUAGAUUUGUGCUACACCAUGUUAUGAACAACAGCUGCAAUAUUUCAUAUAUCACUGCUGUUGUAUUUGAACAAUAAGACCAUGUGUUUUCAUUAUUUGGUCUCAAUUUUAAUUCAAGCUGGACUACAACAAAAUGUUUCAGCUGUAUGCUGUUAUUCAUACCAUUCACUUAAAUUGUGUGCUUUAUAUUGUGUAGGUGUAUAUAAAAAGAUUUCUUGAAUAUCUGUUUAACUCAGUUAGUCACUUAGAAUAUUUGCAAAUAAGCCUCUGCCAUUUGGAGUAAGACUUAAAACAAGAAUGUGAUAAAAGCACAUGAUUGAUGUCUUCAGCAACUCAUGAUUCUCAGCAAAUUAAUGUUGAUUUAUUGUAACAGGUAAGUAUCUGAAAGUGGGGUCACUGGCAUGGCAGUAAAUGCCUGUAAACCCUUUCUUUCCAUGUCAUGUUGCUCAAAUAGCUGAAGAACAUGGAGUAAUUUCAUGAUGAUAUAUCAGGUGCGCAUGGUCUAGUUCCAUGGCAUGCCUUGUAUAUUUUUUGGUGUGUCAUUAAAAACGACUUAACUGAUUUAUAAAACUUUUUUAAACAACUUAAACUAUAUUGUCAAUUUCAUGCAAAUUGACUCAUAUGUGCUCAGUGUGGCAUUAGACAAGAUGAUAAUAUUCAUAUUGUGUUUAUAUGGCAAAUUGAGCCAUACACUUUCCAUGAAGUAUGUACAUCAUAGGUAUAGUUCUGUACACCUAUCGUACAAUCUUGUGCUAAAUAUGCCUAUGAAACAUCACAUUAUAUCAUUGUUCAUUCACUAAUUGCCAAUUUUAUUUAUAAUUUUAUUACAUUAUUUUAAUGGUAAAUAAAUAUUUAUUGUGUAUAUAAUAAUAUCAUGGUUGUUUUUCCUAUUAAACUCUUACCUUUGAAACCAAUACGGACCAUCAUUUUCUUGACGAAUGUUUGUAAAACACACACAAUACUAAAGAUUGUCAGUGCUCUAUUGGAUUCAUUCAUUGAAGUAAUCUUAUCAUUCAUCACAGUGGUCCAUAAUAUCUCAAGCAAGUUUGAAAUUCAAAGAAAACACUUCAAGGUCAAUAAUAUUCUACAGAAAUAUAUAUGUGAAUCAUUUUAAUGUAAUAGCAACAGGUGCCAUACAACACACAAAUUGCUUCAAUACCUGCAAUCUUUAGUAUUUUGUGUGUUUUACUUCAAUACUUCCUCGGAGAUAGCGAUAACAAACUUCAAUUGUCAAAAUCCAAGAUGACUGCCUGUCGGCCAUGUUGUUUUCCAACUGAACCCGAAAUAAAAAUAGGCAUAACUAGACAGAAAGCCAUUAUUGAUACAUUUUAUAUACAUGUAUAGGUUCCCCUUGUUUGAAAAGUACUGGAAGGAUGUUUCUCAUUUUACACAAAUUAGUAAGACGAAGGGAAAAGUAGAGAAAAGUA